Phyllopteryx taeniolatus (common seadragon) is the source of this 998-nucleotide long non-coding RNA. RefSeq lists it as uncharacterized. The record is from RefSeq and is a predicted model, not a curated record. The transcript is spliced from 3 exons. Lineage: Eukaryota; Metazoa; Chordata; Actinopteri; Syngnathiformes; Syngnathidae.
GCAGCCCACCAACCUGUGAAACCACAUGCCAGGAAAUGGCAGCAUCAUCACUGGGUUGAAUGCCAAAGUUCCAUCUUGUCUGCAGGAUGUAGACCACAGGCUCAGCGGAGAUAUUGAACUUGGAGAACCAGUACACCUCCAGAUGACCAGGGGGCACCUCCUCAAAGUCCAGCUCGUUCCUCGGUUUUAAAGGAACCCCUGCGAGAUUAAUGCUAAAACCUCCGCUGUUUUCCUCGCAAGAGAAUGAGAUUGUCCCUCCGUGAAGAACCACAUGUGCCGGUGUACCAAAAUCUGGAGACAAGCCUGCUCCGCGCCUCUGCAAGGCCUCAGGUUAUCGAUGGACAUCCUGCCUACAUGGUGAACAGGCUGCUGGAUGUGCGUCACCGUGGGAGGGGCUUCCAAAACCUGGUUGACUGUGUGCGCUAUGGCCCGGAGGAGCGGAGCUGGAUUCCUGCCCGGUCCUGUUUUGAGAAAGGUCCUGAUUCGUGACUUGCAUCGUCAGCACCCGGGACGCGCAUACCAUUUUUGUCCAUAUUGGCAGAAGAUGGAAUACAGCGAACUGGAAGGCGCGACAAGAAACGAGCGCAUAAGCUUCUUCUUGAUCCCGCUCUAAUCCCUCCCACUUUUGAUUGGUGCCUGCUGUAAAGGAAAAGCAAAGGAGGCCAGGCCAGGCCGAGCGAGGCCAGAGCAGAGCGGGGCCAGGUGAUUUUGGAACUUAUAAUGACAAAGUGGAAUUAGUGCACUAUGUAAGUUGUUGCUUUAUUAAGUUCAGCCCAUUUAUUCACAAUAGUUUACUGCCAAUCUGCCACAUCCAAUAUGGCACUGACGUAUUGUAGCAACUGGCCAACCUGCUCAAGGCAGUGUCUACAUAUACACAUCUAUGCGUUGAGCCCUGAGUCUAAAAAUAAAGCAUCGUCAGGCAGACAGAUUUCUUGCUCCUCAUUGAUGGUCUGUCCAUUGUGUCAUCAGUAUUUUGGGAUGAAAUAGUUCAUUGUCAC